ACCACCUGACAUUCAGUUUCUUUCCAGUUACUGUAUAUUUUAAGUAAUAUGUGCACUGAUGGGGAAAACUAUGUAUCUGCGUUCGCGUCACAGCAAUCGAACAACAUGUGGCCAACUUUCUGCCAUGGUGGUAUAUACCUGUAAUUCCAGGACUCAGGAUUCAAGAUGUCCGGACAAAAUCGGAGAUGAAAGCAUCACAGUCCAGGAACUCGGGGCUGAGACCCACUCAGGAUGGAAGACUUGUUUUUCAGUUGUGAUUGUGUGGGGAGCUCGCGCAUAUUAAUGAAGAUGCUGGAGGAGGCCAGAAGAGGGUGGAUCCCUGGAGCUGCUGUGAGCCACUCAACAUGAAGCAGGAGUCCUCUGCAAGAGCAGUGUGUGCUCUAAACUUGAGCCCUUUCUUCAGCCCCUUGACCCCAUUUUAAAAUAUGACAAUAUACUAGAUUUU
Non-coding RNA from Cricetulus griseus (Chinese hamster), 445 nucleotides. NCBI's taxonomy places the organism in Eukaryota, Metazoa, Chordata, Mammalia, Rodentia, Cricetidae. The record is from RefSeq and is a predicted model, not a curated record.